This 713-nucleotide long non-coding RNA is filed under the name Salmo salar (Atlantic salmon). RNAcentral's name for it is "lncRNA (ENSSSAG00000109755.1)". Lineage: Eukaryota; Metazoa; Chordata; Actinopteri; Salmoniformes; Salmonidae. The record is from RNAcentral.
UUCUCUCUCUCUUUGUCUCUCUUUGUCUCUCUUUCUCUCUCUAAGAGGUCUGCUGGGGAGGAGGUAGGAUGGACAAUAUUCAGUCAAACCUAUCCCGAUAAAAAGUGAAAAUGAGAGAAGCAGGGUCAUGGUGAUAGUGAUGGAGACAGCUUCGACAACUUCUGUGGCCAUGCGAUCACGCUGACUCCGACCGUAAAGAGGGUGGGCUUUAGCCUGGACAUGAGUGACAGGCAGUCGGACAAAUCAGACAACGGGGAGCAGAAUGGGAACAACAACAACGUUGCCGUGGGGAUGACCCCUGAGCCGCCGGGCCUGACCUUUGACCCUGUAGGUCCAGGUGACGUCUUCACUGAAAUCAGCCUGGAUAUAUAGAAGACGCACACACAUUGUUGUAAAAUUGUAAUGUUCUGUUGUGGUUGAUUUAUAGAUGAAUGUAAAAAGCUUCAAAUAACUUUUACAUCCCUAUUUUUUAUGCUGUAAAUUUUUGAUACCGUAAAUUUUUGAUACUGUAAGUUUUUGAUACCGUAAAUUUUUGAUACCGUAAAUUUUUGAUACUGUAAGUUUUUGAUACCGUAAGUUUUUGAUACCGUAAAUUUUUGAUACUGUAAGUUUUUGAUUCCGUACAUUUUUGAUACCGUAAAUUUUUGAUACUGUAAGUUUUUGAUACCGUAAAUUUUUGAUACCGUAAAUUUUUGAUACUGUAAGUUUUUGAU